AAGUCGUAACAAGGUCUCCGUUGGUGAACCAGCGGAGGGAUCAUUACAGAGUGUAACAACUCCCAAACCCACUGUGAACAUACCUCGCGUUGCCUCGGCGGGCUGCCCCGCGUCUCCGGACGGCGGGGUCCGCCGGCGGCCCACGAAACUCUUGUCAGUAUUUGGCAUCUCUGAACGCAAACUAAAAUCAGUUAAAACUUUCAACAACGGAUCUCUUGGUUCUG
RNAcentral lists this unclassified non-coding RNA (224 nucleotides) under fungal sp. RNAcentral's name for it is "partial internal transcribed spacer region". The stretch from base 1 to 46 matches the Rfam family "Eukaryotic small subunit ribosomal RNA", at positions 1786 to 1831 of the family's 1831-position model. Lineage: Eukaryota; Fungi. The record is from RNAcentral.